Homo sapiens (human) is the source of this 2914-nucleotide long non-coding RNA. Lineage: Eukaryota; Metazoa; Chordata; Mammalia; Primates; Hominidae. The record is from Ensembl.
GACCGGCAUGCACACAGGAAGAGCGCCCUGUGAAACUGGAGUUCUGCUGCCGCAAGCAAAGUGACCACUGGAAGCUGGUAGAGAGGGCUCCAACCAGCACAGACCCUGUCGCUGAUGGGAUCCAGGGGGAAGGAGGGAUCCAGACCGGCCACUGGCCAGCUUCAGCACCUGCAGCAGCCUCGCCAGUCAUCUGCCCUCUGUACCAGCCUGGAACAUUCUUGCCACAGUCUCCUUGUGGGCAGGCCCAAGAGGUGAACCCUGCUGCAGAACUGAUGGGUUUCCUGAGCUUCAGCAAGAUUGUGCCCUCUUCAGGUGACAGCAAAUGGAUUAAUUUGACAGAUAUUCAGGGAAAUCGUAUUAGCCUAACUCAAGAAGUACAAAGGGAGAUGAUUAUCAAGAAAUAGAUACAAUUCCAGGCAGAAAAGAUCCCAAAGAAGUCUUAAUAGCUGAAAUAUUGCUGACAAGGAAGUGCACAGACCAGCCUUGCGGAAUCCCACAUCCGGGGAAGCCGACUUUCCCCUGCAGACACCGCCGCCGGAGCAGAGUCUGAUGGAUCACAGGCCAGGAUGGGGAAUUGCAAACACCUCAAGCACCCGUGGAAAUACUGGGUCACCAACAAGCCACCUCCCGAAUUCCCCUCCUUCUGGGGUAUCAAACUCCAAGCCUGGGCGACCUGGUAAAGAACAGACCAACCUGGAGAGCACAGGUGCCCCCAAAUGGGCAGGGAGUGGCAGCCAAGUGUGUAGGGUGCUCUCAGUGGGGCCACAUCUUCCCUUUUCAAGAGAAUGUAGAAGGCCGGGUGCGGUGGCUCACGCCUGUAAUCCCUGCACUUUGGGAGGCUGAGGUGGCAGAUCACCUGAGGUCAGGAGUUCGAGACCAGGCUGGCCAACAUGGUGAAACCCCAUCUCUACUAAAAAUACAAAAAAUUAGCCAGGCAUGGUGGCACAUGCCUGUAAUCCCACCUACUUGGGAGGCUGAGGCGGGAGAAUCGCUUGAACCUGGGAGGCGGAGGUUGCAGUGAGCUGAGAUCACACCAUUGACUGUACUCCAGCCUGGGUGACAAGAGCAAAACUCCAUCAAAAUAAAUAAAUAUAUAAAUAAAUAAAUAAAUAAAUAAUAAAAAAAAUUUAAAAAGAGAGAGAAAGAAUGUAGAAAUUUGCAGUUUUAUAUGAAAAUUCUCUAUGUUUAGAUUUUGGCAACCAAUUCAAAACAUUAAAAAAUAAAUAAAUACAGAAGGCCAAGGAAACAAGGCUGCAAGUUGGACUCAGCCUUUGAGCAUCAAUUUCUAGCCUCUCUAUCACCUCGUGGCUAAAGGCGCUAUUUCUUCCUUGAGAUUUGAGGCUGUGCCUGCAGUGUUUUGAGGAGACUGAGAACAGAGAAUGGCAUGGUUAGCCUGGUUCUAGAUAGCUCUACUCUCUGAUAGAGAAGAUUAUGACUGGAGGUUUGAUGCUGGCCGUAAAUAAGCUAGGGGCUCUUUUCUUGGAGCAGACUAAGGCUCUUGCAUAGCCCCGUGAUGUGGAGCUUUCUUCUAUAUCAAUAAACCAAAUGGAUACCAAACACAGCUGACAUUAAUAGGUGCCUCAGCCAGGGUCUCCACCAGAAUACUCAAAUGAGGAUAAUUGGAGAGAAUCAGGUUUUUCCUCUUUUUUCUUAAUGCAUAAUAUUUGUACAUAUUUGUGGGGUGUGUGUAAUAUUUUAUUAUGUGCAUAGAAUGUGUAUGCUCAAGUCAGGGUAUUUAGGGAGGCAUGACAAAGAUAUGGGUGCGGGGCGACCCCAGGAGCCAAGCAGGAACUCAGAGCUGCUGUCAGCCUGGCUGAGACCUCCUGUCAGUCCAAAGGGACCGGGGCUUAAUUGCAAGGAAAGGGUCUUAAAGCCAGGCCACAUUUAUAGGAGCUGUAGCCUUCUGCCAAGAGAUACAGCUGACCCAAGAAGACUUUGAUGGUAGAGAGCCAGGGAAUAUUCCUGGACUUCACUCUCUUCUCUCUUGCCAGUCUCCUGCGGGGCUUUCCAUGACCAAACCCAGCAGGGAGCCAGGGGCCAUGGGUGCCCACUGGUGUUGUCCAGACCAACCUCGGCGGGCAGAGUUGAGAAGUGUGGAGCCUGGGUCUGCAGGGGCUAGCAGCAGAUACCCAGCUCGGAAGAUAUUAGUGUAAGUCAGUAUUUUAGAAACAAACCAACAUUGUUCAACUCUAGGUGGAGGCAGCUGCCCAGAGUCUGCUGCCUGAUGAAGGCUCAGAGCUCGAAGCUUGAAGCUGCUUUCUUUUCGUAGAAAGGGAGAUUACCAAGCACUGACGUAGUGUUCAAGACACACGUGUUUCAGAGGGACACUCUCUCAAAGUACGCAGCCAAAGACUCAAAAGAAAUGACAGGUAAUAACACCCUCAUCGCCUGACUCAAAUCACAUCUGAGUGUUACCCGCGUCUUUCCACCUCUCCCUGGAUUGGGGAAAGGUGGGAAUAAGUGAUCUCAAGUCCCCAUCUGACUCUGGGAUACUCACCAUGCCUGUGGCUGUGACUCACCACAGCUUCGUAUGGAUAAAGUAACAAUUUUCUGCACUCAGCUUCUUGUUAUUCCACAAACGAGAAUGUUUUGUUUCAGAAGAAUGAGAGCUUAUUCUGGGCUUGAGCUAUAAGAUGCCGAAUAUGUAUUAAUGCUCUUUCAGAGAUCCUAUUUGAGAAAAAUAAGCUUUUAUUCUCCAAAUGUUUAUUGGUCUCUUUGUCUGCAUAGCUCUUCAGGCUAAAAUGAAUAUAAUCCAUAUGUAGCAUUAGACAUUUUACCUUACCUUAAUACAGCAAUCAUGAAUACAUAUUAGCUGUACAGAAGGAAGCCUACAUGUAUUACAGUUGAUGGAAUGUACUAUAAAUUGGCUUUUGUUUUACUUAUAAAUUUGUUAUAGAGAUAUUUAUUGGGCACA